This 475-nucleotide ribosomal RNA is filed under the name Streptococcus iniae. RNAcentral describes it as "bacterial SSU rRNA". It matches the Rfam family "Bacterial small subunit ribosomal RNA", at positions 34 to 491 of the family's 1533-position model. Lineage: Bacteria; Bacillati; Bacillota; Bacilli; Lactobacillales; Streptococcaceae. The record is from RNAcentral.
CGCUGGCGGCGUGCCUAAUACAUGCAAGUAGAACGCUGAGGAUUGGUGCUUGCACUAAUCCAAAGAGUUGCGAACGGGUGAGUAACGCGUAGGUAACCUACCUCAUAGCGGGGGAUAACUAUUGGAAACGAUAGCUAAUACCGCAUGAYACUAGAGUACACAUGUACUYAAGUUAAAAGGAGCAAUUGCUUCACUAUGAGAUGGACCUGCGUUGUAUUAGCUAGUUGGUGAGGUAACGGCUCACCAAGGCGACGAUACAUAGCCGACCUGAGAGGGUGAUCGGCCACACUGGGACUGAGACACGGCCCAGACUCCUACGGGAGGCAGCAGUAGGGAAUCUUCGGCAAUGGACGGAAGUCUGACCGAGCAACGCCGCGUGAGUGAAGAAGGUUUUCGGAUCGUAAAGCUCUGUUGUUAGAGAAGAACGGUAAUGGGAGUGGAAAAUCCAUUACGUGACGGUAACUAACCAGAAAGG